GUUAAGGUAGAGGUUGUCAGGGUCUGUGUACCUAUAGUUAAGGUAGAGGUUGUCAGGGUCUAUGUACCUAUAGUUAAGGUAGAGGUUGUCAGGGUCUGUGUACCUAUAGUUAAGGUAGAGGUUGUCAGGGUCUGUGUACCUAUAGUUAAGGUAGAGGUUGUCAGGGUCUGUGUGACAGGGAUUCUUUGUCCUUCAAGACCCGGUGUAGAGGUCUCGGAUGACAGGACGCUUGGCCCUAGUGAUGAAGUCUGCCGUUUGCUCUGUCCUCGGAAGCGCCUUGAGGUUGAGGGCAGGACAGUUGCCACUGCAAAAAUACAGCCAAUCAAGUUGGUUUUGAUGGUUCAGGUGUUGUUACUGUUUUGAAAACGAGGUUGAUGCUAAAUCUUUAUAGACUCCUAAAAGGGAAGGGGCUCCGGUGGGCGGAC
Esox lucius (northern pike) is the source of this 425-nucleotide long non-coding RNA. NCBI's taxonomy places the organism in Eukaryota, Metazoa, Chordata, Actinopteri, Esociformes, Esocidae. The record is from Ensembl.